CCCUUAGAUGUUCUGGGCCGCACGCGCGCUACACUGAUUCGUUCAACAAGUUUCCUUGGCCGAGAGGCCUGGGCAAUCUUCUUAAUAUGUAUCGUGAUAGGGAUAGAUUAUUGCAAUUAUUAAUCUUGAACGAGGAAUUCCUAGUAAACGCAGAUCAUCAAUCUGCAUUGAUUACGUCCCUGCCCUUUGUACACACCGCCCGUCGCACCUACCGAUUGGAUGUUCCGGUGAAGCCUCGGGAUGAGGACUGGUGCCUUUAUUGGCAUGAGUUGUUCAGAACUUGUCUAAACCUUAUCAUCUAGAGGAAGGUGAAGUCGUAACA
RNAcentral lists this ribosomal RNA (322 nucleotides) under uncultured eukaryote. Its description in RNAcentral is "partial 18S ribosomal RNA". It matches the Rfam family "Eukaryotic small subunit ribosomal RNA", at positions 1470 to 1796 of the family's 1831-position model. The record is from RNAcentral.